GUGCUGUCAUAUUCUAUGAGCCCUCAAAAUCUUGUCAAGGACCUUGCUUGAUGACAACUCUUAGAUGACAGUUUCUCAGAUAUGACAUUGUUUUGAUGUUCUCUGCUAGAUAAGCCUUUGAUACCAAGGCCACUCAGUGCAUCCUAUGAUGUUUAGAGGAGAUUUUAGCAACAUUCCUGGCCUCAAAACACUAGUUCCCUAUGGCAUCUUGAUUGUGAUCAUUAAAAUGCCUCCAGACAGCACCAGAUAUGCAAGGUAUCCUGAGUGGGUAGAAGGUAAAGGAAGCUGAGACUCACUGGCUGAGGCUUGAGAAUCAGAUCGCUUUUUAUUGCCUUGUGGGAAUGGAAGAGGUUUCGCUAGCAGCGAGGAUCAACCACAGAGAGUUCACCUGUUCUUGCAGAAACUGGCUGGGCCAGGUUCUCACGACCCAGGAAAGUUCUGAGUACAAAGAAGGAGAAUCCAGGCCUAGAGUUCCUCCACCCUGCUGCUGCUGCAUGGCAUGGAGUCACAAGAAAGUGGCAAGGAGAAACUGGUGUGAGAACAGAGGCGAGAAUCAGAGCCAAGCCAGCGUCUGGGAACCCAGAACCUUUGGCGCGGCGGCAGCCGCUAGGGUGCAGCUGUGGGCUGAUGUGGGGUUCACGCCAGGGGCGGAGCCGCGCAGGAGAUGAGCUGGCAGUGAUGGCGAGGAGGUUCGGUGUUGUGUUUCUACUGUAACUAUAAUUAGGCGGAUUCUGUGUUUAUUUAGGCUGAGAGCUGUAAGAUAAAUGACAGCUUCGAAGAUGCUUUUCAGCACUUCAUAAAUCACCCACCGGCCCGGGCAGUGUGCUUGUGUCUUGUCUCAGUUCUCGCUCGGUGCCCUGCCGGUCCCCCCAUUCACCUCGGAAGAGGGCACAGCCUGGAUGACCCAGGAGCCCACGCCACAAAGGCAAGAGGCAAAGGGGAAGGUGGUGUCUGUCCUUCUCUAAGCUCUCGGCGCCCCGGAAUCAGUGCCCAGCAGCUGCUUGGAAAGCUGUCAGGAAAAGCUUCCUCCAGAGGUGGUCCCCAGGCCCAGUGGGGAUGCGUUGACGGGCAGGCCUGCCCUCCUCUGGGAGAAUAUGGUCUCUAAUCGGCUCUAACUCUUCUCGCCCCCACCCCCGCCUCUCUGACACAGCUGGAGAUUUACGGGAGACACUGGAGAAAUAUUUAUAGUACAGAGAACCGUCUUUUCCCCUCCUAUGCCUGUCUGCGUCUCCUGGGGCUGGGGUGGAAGGGCCCAUGUCUUUUCCCAUUGGGGAGCACAUUCUGGGAUGGUGCUUCCCAGCGGGAGUUUGGAACUCCUUGGACAUCUGAAAGUAAAGAACCAGAGGGGAACCCAUCUCUCUCACCGAGGCCCAGUCCACUUAGGAGAAAGGGCAAUGGACCGAUGGGGCUUCAACUUCAAGCUUGAAAAACAAACAGAUUGCAGAAGCAUUUCCCUAGCAGAACAGCGAACAUACUUGUCUCUAGACCAGGCGCCUUUCCAGGUAGAUGUUUCCAAUCCUAGCUGUGACUAACAGGGUCCGAGUUAGACCGCAGGGGCAAUGAUACGGUUUCUAAGUGUUUGUCUGUGAACUAGGAGACUUUAAUUCAAAUCUUAGCUCCUCUUACAGCUGGGCUAUGUGUUUGCUCAGUCUGUGGACUUUGGCUUCUGUUCUCCAAAAAAGGGGACAAGCUAGACAUGGUGACCCAGGUCUGUAAUCCCAGCCCUGGGGAAACUAAAGCAAAGGGAUUGUGAGUUCAAACGCAGCCUGGGCUACCUAAGGGAUGCUGUGGUUGAGGACAAGGAGAAGGAGGCAUUUUCUAGGCUAAGUUCUGCCCUAGAAGGCAUACAGGCUUUUGGAAAUGUUGCUGUGUCUAUGGCAUUGAUUGUGUCUAUGGUUCCACAGUUGCUUACCUGUCUCCAAACUCAUCAAGCUGUAUACAUUAAACAUCUAAAGAGUUUUGUGUGUCAAGUAUGCCCCAAUGAAGCAGUUUGUUUUUAAAUGUAUGCAUAGG
This 2013-nucleotide long non-coding RNA is filed under the name Cricetulus griseus (Chinese hamster). RNAcentral describes it as "lncRNA (ENSCGRG00015041831.1)". The record is from RNAcentral. Lineage: Eukaryota; Metazoa; Chordata; Mammalia; Rodentia; Cricetidae.